This 448-nucleotide ribosomal RNA is filed under the name uncultured bacterium. RNAcentral describes it as "bacterial SSU rRNA". It matches the Rfam family "Bacterial small subunit ribosomal RNA", at positions 28 to 458 of the family's 1533-position model. The record is from RNAcentral.
GAUGAACGCUGGCGGCGUGCUUAACACAUGCAAGUCGAACGAAGCACUUUGAACUGAUUCUUCGGAUGAAAUUCUUAGUGACUGAGUGGCGGACGGGUGAGUAACGCGUGGGUAACCUGCCUCAUACAGGGGGAUAACAGUUAGAAAUGGCUGCUAAUACCGCAUAAGCGCACGGUACUGCAUGGUACAGUGUGAAAAACUCCGGUGGUAUGAGAUGGACCCGCGUUGGAUUAGCUAGUUGGCAGGGUAACGGCCUACCAAGGCGACGAUCCAUAGCCGGCCUGAGAGGGUGGACGGCCACAUUGGGACUGAGACACGGCCCAGACUCCUACGGGAGGCAGCAGUGGGGAAUAUUGCACAAUGGGGGAAACCCUGAUGCAGCGACGCCGCGUGAGCGAAGAAGUAUUUCGGUAUGUAAAGCUCUAUCAGCAGGGAAGAAAAUGACGGU